Molecule: unclassified non-coding RNA, 260 nt
Filed under: fungal sp.
Lineage: Eukaryota; Fungi
Description: partial internal transcribed spacer region
Source: RNAcentral
AAGUUAUAACAAGGUCUCUGUUAGUGAACUAGCAGAGGGAUUAUUAUAGAGUUGCAAAACUCCUAUCACCAUUGCGAACUUACCUUACACCCGUUGCUUUGGCAGGCGGCCCUAGGCUUCUGUUUUCACAGAUCCUUAGGGCCCUAUAGCCUGAUUGUCAGGUGCCUGCCAGAGGUCAUGCAACUAGACAUUGUUUAUAGCCUGUUAGAAUUUGUACUACCAAUUAGUUAAAACUUUCAACAACGGAUCUCUUGGUUCUA